Molecule: long non-coding RNA, 2619 nt
Organism: Acinonyx jubatus (cheetah)
Lineage: Eukaryota; Metazoa; Chordata; Mammalia; Carnivora; Felidae
Exons: 3
Source: RefSeq, a predicted model, not a curated record
AUGAGUGGAUCACAGUGGUUUUCUUGGUGGCCACACAAUCAGGAUUAAGAAACCAUGGGACUGGGAAUUAGUCUUCUUGGGCUUGACUCCUGCUUUGCUGUGAAACAGUGGGAGGUCCAUGUUAGCCUCUCUCUUAGUGUCUCACUGGCUCACCUCACCAGGGAUAACAAGCAUUAUAUAUAAUGAUGAAUGGGGAAGUAUCUUGGAAAUUGAAACUUUGUACUAUUUAAGAUACUGUUGUUAGUUGUUAAUUCUAGUUCAUAAUAUAAUUUUUUUUUUCUUCUUAAGUAGGCUCCAUGACCAGCAUGGAGCCCACGGUGGGGUCCAAACUCAUGACAUGAGAUCAAGACCUAAACCAAGAUCAAGAGUCUGACGCUCAACCGACAGAGCCACCUGGGCAUCCCUAGUUCAUAAUAUAAUUUAAAUGAGGCUCAUUUAUUCUUUGCAAAUGGAUUCUUUCCUCUAUUAUGAUAAUACUGUUGAUAAUAUUUAUAUAUUUCAAAGAUUUUAUUUUAUUUUUUUAAUUUUUUUUUUUUAACAUUUAUUUAUUUUUGAGACAGAGAGAGACAGAGCAUGAGCAGGGGAGGGUCAGAGAGAGAGGGAGACACAGAAUCCGAAACAGGCUCCAGGCUCUGAGCUGUCAGCCCAGAGCCCGAUGCAGGGCUCAAACUCACGGACCGCGAGAUCAUGACCUGAGCCAAAGUCGGCCGCUCAACCGACUGAGCCACCCAGGUGCCCCAAGAUUUUAUUUUUCUAAGUAAUCUCUACACCUAACAUGGGGCUUGAAGUCACAACCCCAAGAUUAAGAGUCAGCAUUCUCUACAGACUAAACCAGCCAGAAACCCCUCCUUUAAAAAAAAAAAGAAAAAAAAGAUUUUAUUUUUUUAAAUGGAUAAUACUUAUUUAAUUAACAGAAAUGUGAUUUGUCCACAGACAAACAGCAAGUAGCAGUGCUGCAGCUGGGGCCCUGAUGAAGUUUGGGGAGAUCUAUGAAUAUCCUGAUUCAUAGCCUGUGGUACUUUCCUAGGGUCUUCAGGCACCUGCCCUGCACUGCACCGAGCAUCUUCAGCAUCCUCAACCACGUUAUCACAGUUAAUCACAUUGGGGACAGGCCAGCCAAAGCAGCAAGAAGGGAAGAAGGAAAAAGUUUUUUUACCCGUGUAGUUUCGGUGCCUAAUGUGGAGCUCUCCACUGGCUGCAGCCGCUGAGAGGUCCCGGGACCUGUGACAGGAGCCAGCAGAAGGUAAGAAUUCUAACCAUGCCAGUCUUCCAGUUCUUUGCCUGCAGAGUCUGGUAAGUGACCACUCUAGAGUGGUGAGAGUUCUUUCCUUUUUCUAAAUUUAGAUUAGCAGGAGAGAAAAUUUGUGUGAACUAGUUCCUCGGGUAUAACAACUCUGGUAAAAGUUUGUUAUGAGCACUCUUGUUUUUUAUUGAUCCUUUUUCUCCCAGAGAUGGUCAUUGUUUUCUUUUGUCUCUGUCUUUCAUGACAUUUGUCACAACAAAGAAAACCAUAGAGCAGAACACAGGCAUGAGUCCUAUAAGCCUGUUAUUUGAGCCAGCAUCACAGACUGGUGAGUUCACAGUUCUCACCAGACCAGCAUCUGUUUAGACAAGCUUUGCUGGGGGUCACCAGAUAAAGUUUUUCUUUCAUCUUGUUCUAUGUCCUCAGAGCUUGGCUUUGUAACUAGUGAGACUAUUCUGUUCGGUCACUGCCAGCCAGAAGAUACACAUACCAGCUUGCAUUUGGUGGCCAGUUGAACAUUAGGGUUCUGAGGCACUCAGUUACAAGCAGUACUUUCUUUGUCUGGCCAUGCCAGUUCUUAGGGGAGUUUGUCAUAAGAGCUUCCAGCCCAUAAGGGGCCUUUAUUGUCUGAACCUUUGCUGUCUUGUUAGUGCUGGAAAAGUCUCAUUUUAGUAGCGCUUGUAUAAGUCUGUAGCUGGAGUCAUCUCAUGUUCUCAUGGGAAACUGGAGACACCAUUUUCAUUACACCAUUCUUACUGCUUGUGACCCCGAGUCUUUGCUUUUUUAGGCUAACUCUGGGGGUGAACUUUCUGGGUCUGAUGAGUGCUGCAUCUUUUGUACUCUCUUUUGGGAUGCCUCUUAUGUCUUGUGUGCCAUAAAAUUGUUAUUGAUUUGAGUGACUAUUGAGAUGGGUAUAAGAGCUUACUUGUCAAUGAUGGGUCCUUGGAAUUGGAAAACUUCUGUAUUUGAAAAAAGUUUUAGAGAGCUCUCGUUCCGAAAAAUUGUCCUAUUCGUACCUAUGGAAAUAUCAAAUUAAAAAGUGGAUACAAAGAAGUAUAAUGGUUAGCCUUAGGGACUUCCUUAACAAGAUGGAAGAACAGAAAUUAGACUUAGGAAAAAGUUAAAAUCCACAUUCAACAUAAACGCCCCUUCUUAAAAUCUAGCUCUAUUUCUUCAGCAAAUUCCCUUAGUUCGCCAAACUCCUCCACCUUCCCCACAAAAUCCCUUAAACACCUGGCUACCUGUUUUAACUUCUCUUCCCCUACAAGAUUUAUAGAGAACACUCCAGCCUAAUCUUUAGGUCCAGGGCAUACAGGUCUCUCAUGUAAAUGCUGAAAGCCAGGAAGUAUAUUUGGCAAAAGCAGCAGGAAGUAUAU